This 253-nucleotide ribosomal RNA is filed under the name uncultured bacterium. Its description in RNAcentral is "partial 16S ribosomal RNA". It matches the Rfam family "Bacterial small subunit ribosomal RNA", at positions 524 to 776 of the family's 1533-position model. The record is from RNAcentral.
UACGAAGGGGGCUAGCGUUGUUCGGAAUUACUGGGCGUAAAGAGUGUGUAGGCGGUGCUCUAAGUCUGGUGUGAAAUCUCCCGGCUCAACUGGGAGGGUGCGCCGGAAACUGGAGUGCUUGAGGGUGGGAGAGGUAAGCGGAAUUCCUGGUGUAGCGGUGAAAUGCGUAGAUAUCAGGAGGAACACCUGUGGUGUAGACAGCUUACUGGACCACUUCUGACGCUGAGACACGAAAGCGUGGGUAGCAAACAGG